Molecule: ribosomal RNA, 468 nt
Filed under: uncultured bacterium
Lineage: Bacteria
Description: partial 16S ribosomal RNA
Rfam family: Bacterial small subunit ribosomal RNA
Source: RNAcentral
GACGAACGCUGGCGGCGUGCUUAACACAUGCAAGUCGAACGGAAAGGCCCUGCUUUUGUGGGGUGCUCGAGUGGCGAACGGGUGAGUAACACGUGAGUAACCUGCCCUUGCCUUUGGGAUAACUUCAGGAAACUGGGGCUAAUACCGGAUAGGAGCUCCUGCUGCAUGGUGGGGGUUGGAAAGUUUCGGCGGUUGGGGAUGGACUCGCGGCUUAUCAGCUUGUUGGUGGGGUAGUGGCUUACCAAGGCUUUGACGGGUAGCCGGCCUGAGAGGGUGACCGGCCACAUUGGGACUGGGAUACGGCCCAGACUCCUACGGGAGGCAGCAGUGGGGAAUAUUGCACAAUGGGCGGAAGCCUGAUGCAGCAACGCCGCGUGCGGGAUGACGGCCUUCGGGUUGUAAACCGCUUUCGCCUGUGACGAAGCGUGAGUGACGGUAAUGGGUAAAGAAGCACCGGCUAACUACGUG